This 301-nucleotide ribosomal RNA is filed under the name uncultured bacterium. RNAcentral describes it as "partial 16S ribosomal RNA". It matches the Rfam family "Bacterial small subunit ribosomal RNA", at positions 509 to 807 of the family's 1533-position model. The record is from RNAcentral.
CAGCAGCCGCGGUAAUACGAAGGGGGCUAGCGUUGCACGGAUUUACUGGGCGUAAAGGGCGCGUAGGCGGACAGUUAAGUCGGGGGUGAAAGCCCGGGGCUCAACCUCGGAAUUGCCUUCGAAACUGGCUGUCUUGAGUACGGGAGAGGUGAGUGGAACUCCGAGUGUAGAGGUGAAAUUCGUAGAUAUUCGGAAGAACACCAGUGGCGAAGGCGACUCACUGGCCCGUUACUGACGCUGAGGCGCGAAAGCGUGGGGAGCAAACAGGAUUAGAUACCCGCGUAGUCCCUGUCUCUUAUAC